CGGUAGCACAGAGAGCUUGCUCUCGGGUGACGAGUGGCGGACGGGUGAGUAAUGUCUGGGAAACUGCCUGAUGGAGGGGGAUAACUACUGGAAACGGUAGCUAAUACCGCAUAAUGUCGCAAGACCAAAGAGGGGGACCUUCGGGCCUCUUGCCAUCAGAUGUGCCCAGAUGGGAUUAGCUAGUAGGUGGGGUAACGGCUCACCUAGGCGACGAUCCCUAGCUGGUCUGAGAGGAUGACCAGCCACACUGGAACUGAGACACGGUCCAGACUCCUACGGGAGGCAGCAGUGGGGAAUAUUGCACAAUGGGCGCAAGCCUGAUGCAGCCAUGCCGCGUGUAUGAAGAAGGCCUUCGGGUUGUAAAGUACUUUCAGCGGGGAGGAAGGUGUUGUGGUUAAUAACCGCAGCAAUUGACGUUACCCGCAGAAGAAGCACCGGCUAACUCCGUGCCAGCAGCCGCGGUAAUACGGAGGGUGCAAGCGUUAAUCGGAAUUACUGGGCGUAAAGCGCACGCAGGCGGUCUGUCAAGUCGGAUGUGAAAUCCCCGGGCUCAACCUGGGAACUGCAUUCGAAACUGGCAGGCUGGAGUCUUGUAGAGGGGGGUAGAAUUCCAGGUGUAGCGGUGAAAUGCGUAGAGAUCUGGAGGAAUACCGGUGGCGAAGGCGGCCCCCUGGACAAAGACUGACGCUCAGGUGCGAAAGCGUGGGGAGCAAACAGGAUUAGAUACCCUGGUAGUCCACGCCGUAAACGAUGUCGAUUUGGAGGUUGUGCCCUUGAGGCGUGGCUUCCGGAGCUAACGCGUUAAAUCGACCGCCUGGGGAGUACGGCCGCAAGGUUAAAACUCAAAUGAAUUGACGGGGGCCCGCACAAGCGGUGGAGCAUGUGGUUUAAUUCGAUGCAACGCGAAGAACCUUACCUGGUCUUGACAUCCACAGAACUUUCCAGAGAUGGAUUGGUGCCUUCGGGAACUGUGAGACAGGUGCUGCAUGGCUGUCGUCAGCUCGUGUUGUGAAAUGUUGGGUUAAGUCCCGCAACGAGCGCAACCCUUAUCCUUUGUUGCCAGCGGUUCGGCCGGGAACUCAAAGGAGACUGCCAGUGAUAAACUGGAAGAAAGGUGGGGA
This 1121-nucleotide ribosomal RNA is filed under the name Enterobacter cloacae subsp. cloacae. RNAcentral's name for it is "bacterial SSU rRNA". It matches the Rfam family "Bacterial small subunit ribosomal RNA", at positions 67 to 1179 of the family's 1533-position model. The record is from RNAcentral. Lineage: Bacteria; Pseudomonadati; Pseudomonadota; Gammaproteobacteria; Enterobacterales; Enterobacteriaceae.